Molecule: transfer RNA, 87 nt
Filed under: Candidatus Portnoybacteria bacterium CG_4_10_14_0_2_um_filter_44_20
Lineage: Bacteria; Candidatus Portnoyibacteriota
Also listed under: 1 other name
Description: tRNA-Ser
Rfam family: tRNA
About the family: Transfer RNA (tRNA) molecules are approximately 80 nucleotides in length.
Source: RNAcentral
GGUGGGGUGCCUGAGUGGUUUAAGGGGACAGUCUUGAAAACUGUUGUACCUGCAAAGGUACCGUGAGUUCGAAUCUCACCCCCACCG